RNAcentral lists this transfer RNA (28 nucleotides) under Fluviphylax simplex. RNAcentral describes it as "partial tRNA-Thr". The record is from RNAcentral. Lineage: Eukaryota; Metazoa; Chordata; Actinopteri; Cyprinodontiformes; Fluviphylacidae.
GUAUUAGUAGCUCAGAAUCAGAGCGUCG